Molecule: long non-coding RNA, 573 nt
Organism: Microplitis mediator
Lineage: Eukaryota; Metazoa; Arthropoda; Insecta; Hymenoptera; Braconidae
Exons: 3
Source: RefSeq, a predicted model, not a curated record
UAUUGUGUAUUUGUGUCAAAAACGGUAUGUGUUAAAAAUUGUAGUGUGUUAAACUAACACAAAGUUUGUGUCACUUUAUUUUGUAACAUAAAAAAUGUGUGAUACACUCUUUACUAACACAUUUUGUGUGUUACUGUGGAAUUAACACAAAGUUUGUGUCAAAAUCUCCAUCAAUAUAACAUUAACUUUGUGUUAACAGUGCGUCGGUUCUUUACUUGAUAAAGUUAUUUAAUCUAAAAAUUAACAAUAAAGUGAGUUUAUAAUACGAACACAAAAAUUGAUGUAAUCAACGAUGAGUGGUAAUUCAUCUAACAUUGAAAAUUUUGAUGUAAAUCGAAAUCAAAAAGUGACUGUCAUGUUUAUUCUGGAGUGGAAUAACACUAAAGUUUGGGCCAAACUAAAUUUGCCGGUUACGUUUAACGACUUUGUUUUAAAAGCUCACGGGGUAUUCCCGAACUUGAAUAAUUUGGAUUUUUUCUUUGUCGAUUCAAACGACGCUAGACUAGAUACGAUCCUCGUACUACGUUCUAACCAGUACUAAAAGUUGGGAACUGCAUAGGUUUAAUGAAGAUC